Molecule: long non-coding RNA, 412 nt
Organism: Lonchura striata (white-rumped munia)
Lineage: Eukaryota; Metazoa; Chordata; Aves; Passeriformes; Estrildidae
Source: Ensembl
UUCCCAGCUUCACAGGUGUCCUUUUCUCCUGCUCUGCCCAAUUCCAGGUUGUUGUGUGGCCAAAUCUGGGAGAGUGUGUGUGGGGAAGUAUUUCAGAGAGUCUCCACAGCCCAGCUCCCUGGGAGGAGGGAGAAGGUGUGGAUGGAUGGUCCAUGUGAAGUUACACUGGAGUGACCCAUUGAGGGAAGAGCAGCACUAAGCAGUGAGCCCAGGGAGAUGUCCCAGGACGGACAGACGACUCAGGAGACGGAUGUGCAGCCUGAGGAGGACACCCUUGCUGCUGCCAGGGAGAAGAAAGAAGCACCAGAGGAUGAUGCGUCACCAUCGUGUCCCCGGGCAUCUCCUUUAGGUAUGGGGAUCUCAGAUACCCUGCCCAGCACCUGGGCUGGGAGCCAGGGCACCCUGGGGGAAG